This 244-nucleotide ribosomal RNA is filed under the name Atlantibacter sp. RNAcentral describes it as "partial 16S ribosomal RNA". It matches the Rfam family "Bacterial small subunit ribosomal RNA", at positions 819 to 1062 of the family's 1533-position model. The record is from RNAcentral. Lineage: Bacteria; Pseudomonadati; Pseudomonadota; Gammaproteobacteria; Enterobacterales; Enterobacteriaceae.
GGAGGUUGUGCCCUUGAGGCGUGGCUUCCGGAGCUAACGCGUUAAGUCGACCGCCUGGGGAGUACGGCCGCAAGGUUAAAACUCAAAUGAAUUGACGGGGGCCCGCACAAGCGGUGGAGCAUGUGGUUUAAUUCGAUGCAACGCGAAGAACCUUACCUGGUCUUGACAUCCACAGAACUUGCCAGAGAUGGCUUGGUGCCUUCGGGAACUGUGAGACAGGUGCUGCAUGGCUGUCGUCAGCUCG